GGGUUGUGAGGUUAAGCGACUAAGCGUACACGGUGGAUGCCCUGGCAGUCAGAGGCGAUGAAGGACGUGCUAAUCUGCGAUAAGCGUCGGUAAGGUGAUAUGAACCGUUAUAACCGGCGAUUUCCGAAUGGGGAAACCCAGUGUGAUUCGUCACACUAUCAUUAACUGAAUCCAUAGGUUAAUGAGGCGAACCGGGGGAACUGAAACAUCUAAGUACCCCGAGGAAAAGAAAUCAACCGAGAUUCCCCCAGUAGCGGCGAGCGAACGGGGAGGAGCCCAGAGCCUGAAUCAGUGUGUGUGUUAGUGGAAGCGUCUGGAAAGGCGCGCGAUACAGGGUGACAGCCCCGUACACAAAAAUGCACAUGCUGUGAGCUCGAUGAGUAGGGCGGGACACGUGGUAUCCUGUCUGAAUAUGGGGGGACCAUCCUCCAAGGCUAAAUACUCCUGACUGACCGAUAGUGAACCAGUACCGUGAGGGAAAGGCGAAAAGAACCCCGGCGAGGGGAGUGAAAAAGAACCUGAAACCGUGUACGUACAAGCAGUGGGAGCACGCUUAGGCGUGUGACUGCGUACCUUUUGUAUAAUGGGUCAGCGACUUAUAUUCUGUAGCAAGGUUAACCGAAUAGGGGAGCCGAAGGGAAACCGAGUCUUAACUGGGCGUUAAGUUGCAGGGUAUAGACCCGAAACCCGGUGAUCUAGCCAUGGGCAGGUUGAAGGUUGGGUAACACUAACUGGAGGACCGAACCGACUAAUGUUGAAAAAUUAGCGGAUGACUUGUGGCUGGGGGUGAAAGGCCAAUCAAACCGGGAGAUAGCUGGUUCUCCCCGAAAGCUAUUUAGGUAGCGCCUCGUGAAUUCAUCUCCGGGGGUAGAGCACUGUUUCGGCAAGGGGGUCAUCCCGACUUACCAACCCGAUGCAAACUGCGAAUACCGGAGAAUGUUAUCACGGGAGACACACGGCGGGUGCUAACGUCCGUCGUGAAGAGGGAAACAACCCAGACCGCCAGCUAAGGUCCCAAAGUCAUGGUUAAGUGGGAAACGAUGUGGGAAGGCCCAGACAGCCAGGAUGUUGGCUUAGAAGCAGCCAUCAUUUAAAGAAAGCGUAAUAGCUCACUGGUCGAGUCGGCCUGCGCGGAAGAUGUAACGGGGCUAAACCAUGCACCGAAGCUGCGGCAGCGACGCUGAUGCGUUGUUGGGUAGGGGAGCGUUCUGUAAGCCUGCGAAGGUGUGCUGUGAGGCAUGCUGGAGGUAUCAGAAGUGCGAAUGCUGACAUAAGUAACGAUAAAGCGGGUGAAAAGCCCGCUCGCCGGAAGACCAAGGGUUCCUGUCCAACGUUAAUCGGGGCAGGGUGAGUCGACCCCUAAGGCGAGGCCGAAAGGCGUAGUCGAUGGGAAACAGGUUAAUAUUCCUGUACUUGGUGUUACUGCGAAGGGGGGACGGAGAAGGCUAUGUUGGCCGGGCGACGGUUGUCCCGGUUUAAGCGUGUAGGCUGGUUUUCCAGGCAAAUCCGGAAAAUCAAGGCUGAGGCGUGAUGACGAGGCACUACGGUGCUGAAGCAACAAAUGCCCUGCUUCCAGGAAAAGCCUCUAAGCAUCAGGUAACAUCAAAUCGUACCCCAAACCGACACAGGUGGUCAGGUAGAGAAUACCAAGGCGCUUGAGAGAACUCGGGUGAAGGAACUAGGCAAAAUGGUGCCGUAACUUCGGGAGAAGGCACGCUGAUAUGUAGGUGAAGCGACUUGCUCGUGGAGCUGAAAUCAGUCGAAGAUACCAGCUGGCUGCAACUGUUUAUUAAAAACACAGCACUGUGCAAACACGAAAGUGGACGUAUACGGUGUGACGCCUGCCCGGUGCCGGAAGGUUAAUUGAUGGGGUCAGCGCAAGCGAAGCUCUUGAUCGAAGCCCCGGUAAACGGCGGCCGUAACUAUAACGGUCCUAAGGUAGCGAAAUUCCUUGUCGGGUAAGUUCCGACCUGCACGAAUGGCGUAAUGAUGGCCAGGCUGUCUCCACCCGAGACUCAGUGAAAUUGAACUCGCUGUGAAGAUGCAGUGUACCCGCGGCAAGACGGAAAGACCCCGUGAACCUUUACUAUAGCUUGACACUGAACAUUGAGCCUUGAUGUGUAGGAUAGGUGGGAGGCUUUGAAGUGUGGACGCCAGUCUGCAUGGAGCCGACCUUGAAAUACCACCCUUUAAUGUUUGAUGUUCUAACGUUGACCCGUGAUCCGGGUUGCGGACAGUGUCUGGUGGGUAGUUUGACUGGGGCGGUCUCCUCCUAAAGAGUAACGGAGGAGCACGAAGGUUGGCUAAUCCUGGUCGGACAUCAGGAGGUUAGUGCAAUGGCAUAAGCCAGCUUGACUGCGAGCGUGACGGCGCGAGCAGGUGCGAAAGCAGGUCAUAGUGAUCCGGUGGUUCUGAAUGGAAGGGCCAUCGCUCAACGGAUAAAAGGUACUCCGGGGAUAACAGGCUGAUACCGCCCAAGAGUUCAUAUCGACGGCGGUGUUUGGCACCUCGAUGUCGGCUCAUCACAUCCUGGGGCUGAAGUAGGUCCCAAGGGUAUGGCUGUUCGCCAUUUAAAGUGGUACGCGAGCUGGGUUUAGAACGUCGUGAGACAGUUCGGUCCCUAUCUGCCGUGGGCGCUGGAGAACUGAGGGGGCUGCUCCUAGUACGAGAGGACCGGAGUGGACGCAUCACUGGUGUUCGGGUUGUCAUGCCAAUGGCACUGCCCGGUAGCUAAAUGCGGAAGAGAUAAGUGCUGAAAGCAUCUAAGCACGAAACUUGCCCCGAGAUGAGUUCUCCCUGACUCCUUGAGAGUCCUGAAGGAACGUUGAAGACGACGACGUUGAUAGGCCGGGUGUGUAAGCGCAGCGAUGCGUUGAGCUAACCGGUACUAAUGAACCGUGAGGCUUAACCUUACAACGCCGAAGGUGUUU
This 2930-nucleotide ribosomal RNA is filed under the name Escherichia coli. RNAcentral's name for it is "23S ribosomal RNA". It matches the Rfam family "Bacterial large subunit ribosomal RNA". Lineage: Bacteria; Pseudomonadati; Pseudomonadota; Gammaproteobacteria; Enterobacterales; Enterobacteriaceae. The record is from RNAcentral.